ACCUUAGCACAGGGGCAAUAUCGUAGCCAUUGAGGUAUUUUCCCAAGGUGAGAUUAUUGCUGAUUGAAAACUUUAGGUGCUUCCCAGCCAUUUGAGAUGGCUCUAUUGUGAAUUCUUGGUUUAGUUCUAUACU
This is a small nuclear RNA of Rattus norvegicus (Norway rat), 133 nucleotides long. Ensembl annotates it as U4 spliceosomal RNA. The record is from Ensembl. NCBI's taxonomy places the organism in Eukaryota, Metazoa, Chordata, Mammalia, Rodentia, Muridae.